CAACGUAGGUAAUCUACCUUUGAGUGGGGAAUAACAAUCGGAAACGAUUGCUAAUACCGCAUAAUGCAGCGGCAUCUUAUGAUGACAGUUGUUAAAGGAGCAAUCCGCUUAAAGAGGAGCCUGCGGCAGAUUAGCUUGUUGGUAAGGUAAUGGCUUACCAAGGCUACGAUCUGUAACCGACCUGAGAGGGUGGUCGGUCACACUGACACUGAAUAACGGGUCAG
Molecule: ribosomal RNA, 224 nt
Filed under: uncultured bacterium
Lineage: Bacteria
Description: partial 16S ribosomal RNA
Rfam family: Bacterial small subunit ribosomal RNA
Source: RNAcentral